Non-coding RNA from Salmo salar (Atlantic salmon), 1070 nucleotides. The record is from RefSeq and is a predicted model, not a curated record. NCBI's taxonomy places the organism in Eukaryota, Metazoa, Chordata, Actinopteri, Salmoniformes, Salmonidae.
GCGGGUUUGGAUAAAAAAUAACGGGGCACACAAAGAGUUUAGGGGCGUUGGUGGUUUUGUUAUGAAUUUCGUCAAGGAAGUCAAAAGUAGACUAUUUUAAAGAUUAUCGAAGGUUUCAGAGAUCUUAAUAACAUCCAACAGUUAUGGCAGAUGAAGAGGCCAUGCACGGCGCAGAGGGUCCACUUGUCGCAGUGACAUUUCAGAGGAAUCCUCACCAAAAACAGAAGUACCUGGAGCCUCAACCCAAAGCACUGGGAGUAAAACAUCCUGAGCAAAUAAAUGAAGUGUGGUCUGGCAAUCCAUUUAAAUGUCACUAUAAUGUAUUAUAAUCUAUAAAAUGUUAUUCAUAAUAAUCUGUAGUUAAUUUUACUUCACCCCCCUCUCCUCCCCCCUCAGGUGACUCAGAUUGCCCUCAGUGUGUUAUAUAUCAGUUCUGUCAUUGUCAUUUUCACCAACGGCUUGAGCAUGUUGGUUCUAGAUCAGUGUUUGUGAUCAUAGCUGGUAGUUUGGCCAUAGCUGCACAGAAUCUCCAUUUUCCCACUGUAAGUUAUGCAAUUUGUAAGUGUACAAGUUAUUUGAGAAAAAAAGUGAGAUAUACUGUACCAGUGGCAUUUCUUCUCCUCUCCUCUUCUUUGCUCUCCUCUCUUCUGUAAGCGGUGCAUAACUGGCUGCAGGGAAGUCAGGCGCAGGAGAGCAGAAAUGGGUAACAGCCAGAGCACUUUAAUGAUGCAAAAAACAAACUGCACCCAGAACAGCAAAAUAUAGGUUGAAAUAACCCAUCGCAAACCAGUCUAAAUACAUAAAACACUUACAACAAACAAUUCCACACACAGACAUGGGGGGAACAUAGGGUUAUAUACACAAAAAAAUGACGGAACAGUUCCGUAAGGCAACACAGGCUAUACAGGAAAACAACCACCCACAAAACACAAGUGAAACAAACACAACUAAAUAUGGCCUCCAAUUAGAGACAACGACAACCAGCUGCCUUUAAUUUGAAGUCCUUGCCAAAAACCCAACAUAGAAAUAGAAAACUAGAUAUAAACAUAGAAAUAGAUAACAAAGAACCU